AUGGAUGGCGCUUAAGUUGUAUACCUAUACAUUACCGCUAAAGUAGAUGAUUUAUAUUACUUGUGAUAUAAAUUUUGAAACUUUAGUGAGUAGGAAGGUACAAUGGUAUGCGUAGAAGUGUUUGGCGUAAGCCUUCAUGGAGCUGCCAUUGGCACAGAUCUUGGUGGUAGUAGCAAAUAAUCGAAUGAGACCUUGGAGGACUGAAGUGGAGAAGGGUUUCGUGUGAACAGUGGUUGAUCACGAGUUAGUCGGUCCUAAGUUCAAGGCGAAAGCCGAAAAUUUUCAAGUAAAAAAUCAGUGAGUAAUAUUGUCAAAUCUUUUAUGAUUUUUAAAUACUUGAAUAAUUUUGAACGAAAGGGAAUACGGUUCCAAUUCCGUAACCUGUUGAGUAUCCGUUUGUUAUUAAAUAUGGGCCUCGUGCUCAUCCUGGCAACAGGAACGACCAUAAAGAAGCCGUCGAGAGAUAUCGGAAGAGUUUUCUUUUCUGUUUUAUAGCCGUACUACCAUGGAAGUCUUUCGCAGAGAGAUAUGGUAGAUGGGCUAGAAGAGCAUGACAUAUACUGUUGUGUCGAUAUUUUCUCCUCGGACCUUGAAAAUUUAUGGUGGGGACACGCAAACUUCUCAACAGGCCGUACCAAUAUCCGCAGCUGGUCUCCAAGGUGAAGAGUCUCUAGUCGAUAGAAUAAUGUAGGUAAGGGAAGUCGGCAAAUUAGAUCCGUAACUUCGGGAUAAGGAUUGGCUCUGAAGAUUGAGAUAGUCGGGCUUGAUUGGGAAACAAUAACAUGGUUUAUGUGCUCGUUCUGGGUAAAUAGAGUUUCUAUCAUUUAUGGUAGUUACUUGUUCCCCGGAUAGUUUAGUUACGUAGCCAAUUGUGGAACUUUCUUGCUAAAAUUUUUUAAGAAUACUAAUUGGGUUAAACCAGUUAGUUCUUAUUAAUUAUAACGAUUAUCAAUUAACAAUCAAUUUCAGAACUGGCACGGGACUUUGGGGAAUCCGACUGUCUAAUUAAAACAAAGCAUUGUGGAUUGGCCCUAGGCGGGUGUUGACACAAUGUGAUUUCUGCCCAGUGCUCUGAAUGUCAAAGUGAAGAAAUUCAAGUAAGCGCGGGUCACGGCGGGAGUACUAUGACUCUCUUAAGGUAGCCAAAUGCCUCGUCAUCUACUAGUGACGCGCAUGAUGGAUUAACGAGAUGCUACUGUCCUAUCUA
This 1207-nucleotide non-coding RNA is filed under the name Drosophila persimilis. RNAcentral describes it as "Eukaryotic large subunit ribosomal RNA". It matches the Rfam family "Eukaryotic large subunit ribosomal RNA", at positions 1318 to 2351 of the family's 3401-position model. Lineage: Eukaryota; Metazoa; Arthropoda; Insecta; Diptera; Drosophilidae. The record is from Rfam by way of RNAcentral.